GGAUUAGAUACCCUGGUAGUCCACGCCCUAAACGAUGCCAACUAGGUGUUGGGGAAGGAGACUUCCUUAGUACCGUAGCUAACGCGUGAAGUUGGCCGCCUGGGGAGUACGGUCGCAAGAUUAAAACUCAAAGGAAUUGACGGGGACCCGCACAAGCGGUGGAUGAUGUGGAUUAAUUCGAUGCAACGCGAAAAACCUUACCUACCCUUGACAUGCCAGGAACUUGCCAGAGAUGGCUUGGUGCUCGAAAGAGAGCCUGGACACAGGUGCUGCAUGGCUGUCGUCAGCUCGUGCUG
RNAcentral lists this ribosomal RNA (296 nucleotides) under uncultured bacterium. RNAcentral describes it as "partial 16S ribosomal RNA". It matches the Rfam family "Bacterial small subunit ribosomal RNA", at positions 775 to 1067 of the family's 1533-position model. The record is from RNAcentral.